Pristis pectinata (smalltooth sawfish) is the source of this 111-nucleotide small nuclear RNA. RefSeq annotates it as U5 spliceosomal RNA. The record is from RefSeq and is a predicted model, not a curated record. Lineage: Eukaryota; Metazoa; Chordata; Chondrichthyes; Rhinopristiformes; Pristidae. The transcript has a single exon.
GAACACUCGUUUACCUUCAAAUUGAAUAAAUAGUUUGCCUUUUACUAAAGAUUUCUGUGGAGGGGAACACUCAGUUUGUGCUCCUGUAUUUUGUGGGACUGGUUAACCAAU